RNAcentral lists this long non-coding RNA (3898 nucleotides) under Macaca mulatta (Rhesus monkey). RNAcentral describes it as "lncRNA (ENSMMUG00000049632.1)". The record is from RNAcentral. Lineage: Eukaryota; Metazoa; Chordata; Mammalia; Primates; Cercopithecidae.
AUGAAUACACCUCAUCUUUAUCCACAACCCUCUUCGACAGUGUCUUUUGCAAACCCAGAGCUCCUUGGAGAAUCACCCACAGCCCAGCGUCCUUUCCAACACAGUUUCCUUUCUUCCCCUGCACCUUUUGUGAUGACCACUGGAAACGCCUCGCCAGAGGAAGCCGUCUCUCUGAGUCUAUCGUUCCCAGCUCCUGUCUGGCUCCUCUCACUGCCAGACGUGACUCCCGUGAAGAGGUCACUCUGUGAAGAGGUCACUCCCUCGGAGAGGUCAGUCUGUGAAGAGGUUGUUCUGUGAAGAGGCCACUCUGUGAAGAGGUCACUCCCUCGGAGAGGUCAGUCUGUGAAGAGGUUGUUCUGUGAAGAGGCCACUCUGUGAAGAGGUCACUCCCUCGGAGAGGUCAGUCUGUGAAGAGGUUGUUCUGUGAAGAGGCCACUCUGUGAAGAGGUCACUCCCUCGGAGAGGUCAGUCUGUGAAGAGGUUGUUCUGUGAAGAGGCCACUCUGUGAAGAGGUCACUCCCUCGGAGAGGUCAGUCUGUGAAGAGGUUGUUCUGUGAAGAGGCCACUCUGUGAAGAGGUCACUCCCUCGGAGAGGUCAGUCUGUGAAGAGGUUGUUCUGUGAAGAGGCCACUCUGUGAAGAGGUCACUCCCUCGGAGAGGUCAGUCUGUGAAGAGGUUGUUCUGUGAAGAGGCCACUCUGUGAAGAGGUCACUCCCUCGGAGAGGUCAGUCUGUGAAGAGGUUGUUCUGUGAAGAGGCCACUCUGUGAAGAGGUCACUCCCUCGGAGAGGUCAGUCUAUGAAGAGGUUGUUCUGUGAAGAGGCCACUCUGUGAAGAGGUCACUCCCUCGGAGAGGUCAGUCUAUGAAGAGGUUGUUCUGUGAAGAGGCCACUCUGUGAAGAGGUCACUCCCUCGGAGAGGUCAGUCUGUGAAGAGGUUGUUCUGUGAAGAGGCCACUCUGUGAAGAGGUCACUCCCUCGGAGAGGUCAGUCUGUGAAGAGGUCACUCCGUGAUGAAUUGAUGUGUUUUUAAACAUAAAGUUUCGGUUGUUUUUGCACCUCAAAUCCUGAUCAUGGAUUGUAUCACUUUGGCUUCUAAACAUUUCGGCUUCUUCAGAAAACACUCGGCCAAGGACUGUGAGGACACGCCCUCAGCCGGGCGGCCUCGUCCUCAGCUCGAAGACAGGACGGCUCUCACUGGAGGAGUCAUGAACGCGGACCUCGCAGCGCCGUCUACUCCAGGGCAGUCACCACACUGGCCCCAUCUCAUGGCGUCUAAGACUCCCGGCAUGCGGUGCCCGGCAGCUGGUUCCUGAGACAUCGCUGUCCCGUUUGAGGCUCCCUGGAGAGAAGUCAUAGAGGUAACAAGGUGGGCAGGGCCGAGCUUUCCCUGCCAGAGCCACCAGCCAGGCACAGGGCUGAUGCCACCAGCGACCCCACAACCCUCUCCCCCUGCCCCCUGCCGGGACCGCUCGCCCUGGCCCUCUGAGCACUUCUUCCUUCUCAAGCAUCAGCUCACACGGCCCCACGGCCUUGCCCGAUCCCAUGUCUCAUUAGAUCCCCUUGUUGUUUUUCCUCACCAUCUUUUCUUUCAUGUAUGAAACUCCUUGAAUGUUGACAGUACAGCAAACCGUCCAGUGAACAUCCCAGCUCCAUCUCCCGGGUCAAUUGCUACAGCCAUUUGCCAAGCUUGCUUUAAUGACCUUUUAAUUUAGUUUUAAUUUUUAUUUAUUUAUGUAUUUUCGGACGGACUCUUACUCUGUUGCCAGGCUGGAGUGCGGUGGCACAAUCUCGGCUCACUGCAACCUCUGCCUCCUGGGUUCAAGUGAUUCUCCUGCCUCAGCCUCCCGAGUAGCUGGGACUACAGGCAUGUGCCACCACACCCAGCUAAUUUUUGUAUUUUUAGUAGAGACAGGGUGUCACCAUGUUGGCCAGGAUGGUCUUGAUCUCUUGACCUCGUGAUCCACCCGCCUCGGCCUCCCAAAGUGCUGGGAUUACAGGCGUGAGCCACCGCGCCUGGCCUGCUUUGAUGACUUUAUAGGUAGAAUGUUUCAGAGUGAGUUACGGACAUUGUAACAGUUACAGGUAAAUACUUCAGUCUUCAUCUCUAAAAAAAAGGGGUGCUUUCUAUACAAGUGUAACACCAUUACUGCACUUAGCCAAAUUAGAAAUAGCUCCUGAACGUCUUCUAACACCCAGAGCACACUUAACAUUUCCACAGUUUCCUAAUGUUGUCUUUACAGCUGCCUCUCUUUCCUCCAAGCUUUGCACGAAAUUGAAGACUUCUUUUCCGUCCUUUUUGUCCUGUGCCGUGCUAAGGGUGGUUGGUAAAGUGUGGCAUUCUGGAAGUACUUGCAUGGAUUUUUUUUUACCGUUUUUACCUUUGUGGGGUCAUGUUUUGAAUGUAUGUAGUUUGAAUGAAAAUGUAGUUACAUUUUCAACUUCUUUUCAAUAUCGAGAUUUUUGUUUCUUUUUAAUUUAGUUUAAUAGUUUGAAUAUAAAAUACAGCGACCUGGUUAAAAGUCAGAGACCAAAGUGUCCCUGGAAAGGCCGGGUUUCCCAGCCUGUCUCUGCCCCACGCGGCUCUCUUCCCAGCAGGAACCUAUUCAGUUUCUGGUUAAUUCUUUCAGUGUUUCUCUUUGUGACGCCUUUUUUAUAAAGGUAGAACACUACGGUCACAGAUCUGCACUCUACUUUUUCACUUAAUAACAUAUGUUGGCGAUUACUGUGCAUCACUCUGUGCUCCCUGUAGAAGGGGUUUCCAGGAGGUGGGUCUACCGACGUUUCAAGAGCCCCUCACAGUAAGAUGUCUGGGUGGUUUCCAGUCUUUGAGGCUGCAAAGGAAACUCACGUGCCAGCACCAUCCACACGUCGGCAUCAUUUCCUGCUUUGCUCACACGUGCACUCUCAGGACAGGUCAAUGGAAACGCAUCCGUGACUUUGUUGGGGAUGGCCAUCUCCCUUCACAGGGUCAUGCCGUUUGGCAUGACAGCCAGCAACGUACAUCUGGGCCUUCCCUCACCUUUCCUGCCCACAGAAUACGCGGUCAGCCGCAGCGUCUAUCACUCUGGGGCUGGGACGAGCUGUUUCAGAGCGCUGGCCUGUCUUUCUUUCUCCACCGGGGAAGCUGGGCCCUUGCUUGCGUGGUGGGCCAUGCUCGGCAGCUAUUUCUGAGAAAGGCCUGUUCAUGGCUCUUGCCCGUUGUCCUGUUGUCCUGCUUUUAAUUCUCCAUUUCUGGAAACUCUAUAUUAUGUAGAUUCACCCUUUGUGACAACGUACAAGUGUUUGUUCACAAUUUACCCCUGGUAUUUUGAUUUUGCUUUUUUGGGGAGGGGAUGGCCAGGGGUGUUUUGUAUUUUAAUGUAGCUGAAUUUCUUGGUCAUUUCUUCUGUUGGUACGGAAUUUUGAACAACAUUUAAAAAGGAUUUCCCCACGCCCAGGUUAUGAAGCGAUUCUUGUAUAGCCUUCUGGUGUUCAUGUGAUGUCAUGUUUCCUGUGCGGCUCGAUGACCCCACUGGAGUGUGUCCUAUACUGUGAAGCCCAGUGUGACACAAGGAUCCAAGUCACGUUUCCAGGUGGCCUCCAGAGCAGCCAGAGCCAUUUACUGACAAGUCCAUCUUCCGAGCCUGACAGGCCGCUGUUAUCACACACAAACGCCACGUAUUCAUGUGGGCCUAUUGUUGGAUCUUCUAGUCUGUUCCAUUAUUCAUUUGUCACCAGAACCACACUAUUAAUUAUGAACACUUGAUCCUACUUUUAAUAUCUGCCAGGGUCAGUCCCACAGCCCCUGCCCUGCUAAUCCUUUCCAGGAUGGUCCUGACUCUUCUUAUUUGUGUUUUCUUUUGGAACUUUAGAAUAAAUUUUGUCUUGGCCCUGGCAGACAGGGAGGACCUUUUGGUG